This 407-nucleotide ribosomal RNA is filed under the name Verrucomicrobiota bacterium. Its description in RNAcentral is "Verrucomicrobia bacterium partial 16S ribosomal RNA". It matches the Rfam family "Bacterial small subunit ribosomal RNA", at positions 355 to 776 of the family's 1533-position model. Lineage: Bacteria; Pseudomonadati; Verrucomicrobiota. The record is from RNAcentral.
UGGGGAAUAUUGGACAAUGGAGGAAACUCUGAUCCAGCAAUUCUGUGUGUGUGAAGAAGGUUUUAGGACUGUAAAACACUUUUAGUAGGGAAGAAAAAAAUGACGGUACCUACAGAAGAAGCCCCGGCUAACUUCGUGCCAGCAGCCGCGGUAAUACGAAGGGGGCUAGCGUUGUUCGGAUUUACUGGGCGUAAAGCGCACGUAGGCGGACUUUUAAGUCAGGGGUGAAAUCCCGGGGCUCAACCCCGGAACUGCCUUUGAUACUGGAAGUCUUGAGUAUGGUAGAGGUGAGUGGAAUUCCGAGUGUAGAGGUGAAAUUCGUAGAUAUUCGGAGGAACACCAGUGGCGAAGGCGGCUCACUGGACCAUUACUGACGCUGAGGUGCGAAAGCGUGGGGAGCAAACAGG